AGUGAACGCUGGCGGUAGGCCUAACACACGCAAGUCGAACGGCAGCACAGUAAGAGCUUGCUCUUACGGGUGGCGAGUGGCGGACGGGUGAGGAAUACAUCGGAAUCUACUUUUUCGUGGGGGAUAACGUAGGGAAACUUACGCUAAUACCGCAUACGACCUACGGGUGAAAGCAGGGGAUCUUCGGACCUUGCGCGAUUGAAUGAGCCGAUGUCGGAUUAGCUAGUUGGCGGGGUAAAGGCCCACCAAGGCGACGAUCCGUAGCUGGUCUGAGAGGAUGAUCAGCCACACUGGAACUGAGACACGGUCCAGACUCCUACGGGAGGCAGCAGUGGGGAAUAUUGGACAAUGGGCGCAAGCCUGAUCCAGCCAUACCGCGUGGGUGAAGAAGGCCUUCGGGUUGUAAAGCCCUUUUGUUGGGAAAGAAAAGCAGCAGGUUAAUACCCCGCUGUUCCGACGGUACCCAAAGAAUAAGCACCGGCUAACUUCGUG
This 492-nucleotide ribosomal RNA is filed under the name uncultured bacterium. RNAcentral describes it as "partial 16S ribosomal RNA". It matches the Rfam family "Bacterial small subunit ribosomal RNA", at positions 29 to 507 of the family's 1533-position model. The record is from RNAcentral.